AGAGUUUGAUCCUGGCUCAGGAUGAACGCUAGCGGCAGGCUUAAUACAUGCAAGUCGAGGGGCAGCACAGGUAGCAAUACUGGGUGGCGACCGGCAAACGGGUGCGGAACACGUACGCAACCUUCCUUUAAGCGGGGGAUAGCCCAGGGAAACUUGGAUUAAUACUCCAUAAUAUUACUGAAUGGCAUCAUUUGGUUAUU
RNAcentral lists this ribosomal RNA (200 nucleotides) under uncultured bacterium. RNAcentral's name for it is "partial 16S ribosomal RNA". It matches the Rfam family "Bacterial small subunit ribosomal RNA", at positions 8 to 202 of the family's 1533-position model. The record is from RNAcentral.